CGGCCCGCACCGGCUCUUCCGCCCCGGGGUCUCCCCUGCUACUCCAGCGGCGGGGCCCCCAGCAAUUCUGGGCCCCAAGGUCACGGGGAGAUUCACCGAGUCCCCACGCAGCGCAGGCCUUCGCAGUUCGACAAGAAAAUCCUGCUGUGGACAGGGCGUUUCAAAUCGAUGGAGGAGAUCCCGCCUCGGAUCCCGCCAGAAAUGAUAGACACCGCAAGAAACAAAGCUCGAGUGAAAGCUUGUUACAUAAUGAUUGGACUCACAAUUAUCGCCUGCUUUGCUGUGAUAGUGUCAGCCAAAAGGGCUCCACUAUGAAUUCCAGUUCUGUUGCUAUUCCACCACAUCUGCAGUUACUUCCUCAUACUUCCUCCACUGAAGGCUUGAACCCCUCAAAGUUAUCUAUGAGGAUUGGAAUCAGCUUCGUCCGAACUCCUAUUAAUAUUGACCUCUUCCUAUGAUUCACAAAUAUUCUUAAUGGCAUCUAGAAUGGUGACUCCUUUCCAGAAGGUUUUCAAUUUACUUUGCUCAGAUCCAUCAGAGGAAUCACUAUCUAUGGUAGCUAUAGCCUUACAAAAUGUGUUUCUUAAAUAACAAGACUUGAAAGUUGAAAUGACACCUUUUUCCAUGGGCUGAAGAAUGGAUGUUGUGUUAGCAGUCAUGAAAAUAUUAAUCUCCUUGUAAAUAUCCAUAAGAACUUUUGAGUGACCAGGUGCAUUGUCACUGAGAAGUAAUAUUUUGAAAGGAAUCUUUUUUUUUCUGAGAAGUAAGUCUCAACAGUGAGCUUAAAGUAUUCAGAAAGCCAUGUAAGCAGAUAUGCUGUCACCCAGGCUUCAUUAUUCCAUUCGUGGCACAGGCAGAGUAGAUUUACCAUAAUUCUUAAGAGCCCUAGGAUUUUCAGAAUGCUAAUGAGUAUUGGCUUCCACUUAAAGUCAUCAGCUGCCAAUAGCUCCUAACAAGAGAGUCAGCCUGUCUUUGAAGCUUUAAAACCAGGCAUUGACUUCUCUCUAUCUCUGAAAGUUCUAGAUGGCAUUUUCUUCCAAAAUGAGGCUAUUUUGUCUUCAUUGAAAAACUGUAUUUUAGCAUAGACUUCAUCAACAAAAUUAGCUAUAAUAGAUCUUCUAGAUGACUUGCUGUAGCUUCUCUAUUAGCACUUGCUGCUUCACCUUGCACUUUUGUUAUGGAGACAGCUUCUUUCCUUCAGCCUCAUGAACCAACCUCUGCUAGCUUCCAACUUGUCUUCUACUGCUUU
RNAcentral lists this long non-coding RNA (1249 nucleotides) under Homo sapiens (human). RNAcentral's name for it is "HSALNT0112227". The record is from RNAcentral. Lineage: Eukaryota; Metazoa; Chordata; Mammalia; Primates; Hominidae.